GGAUAACCUGCCCUACACUGGGGGAUAAUCUUGGGAAACUGAGGAUAAUACCCCAUAGACCACUACGCCUGGAACGGUGACCGGUUGAAAGCUCCGGCGGUGUAGGAUGGGUCUGCGGCGUAUCAGGUCGUAGGGGGUGUAAUGGACCUCCUAGCCAUCGACGCGUACGGGUUGUGGGAGCAAUAGCCCGGAGACGGAUUCUGAGACACGAAUCCGGACCCUACGGGGUGCAGCAGGCGCGAAAACUUCACACUGCAGGAAACUGUGAUGAGGGAACUCCAAGUGACUGCACAAUGUGUAGCCUUUUCUUGAAUCUUAAUAGUUCUUGGAAUAAGGGCUGGGAAAGACCGGUGCCAGCCGCCGCGGUAAUACCGGCAGCUCAAGUGGUCGUCGCUUUUAUUGGGCCUAAAACGUCCGUAGCCUGUUUGGUAAAUCUGUGGGUAAAUCAACGAGCUUAACCCGUUGAAUUCUGCGGAGACUGCCAGACUAGGGACCGGGAGAGGUAUGAGGUACUCUGGGGGUAGGGGUAAAAUCCUGUCAUCCUCAGAGGACCACCUGUUGCGAAGGCGUCAUACUGGAACGGAUCCGACGGUCAGGGACGAAGCCUAGGGGCACGAACCGGAUUAGAUACCCGGGUAGUCCUAGGUGUAAACGCUGUGGAUUUGGUGUGUGGGGUCCGCAAUGGGCCCCAUGUGCCGGAGUGAAGAUGUUAAAUCCACUGCCUGGGGAGUACGGUCGCAAGGCUGAAACUU
This 752-nucleotide ribosomal RNA is filed under the name uncultured Candidatus Poseidoniales archaeon. RNAcentral describes it as "bacterial SSU rRNA". It matches the Rfam family "Archaeal small subunit ribosomal RNA", at positions 102 to 857 of the family's 1478-position model. Lineage: Archaea; Methanobacteriati; Thermoplasmatota; Candidatus Poseidoniia; Candidatus Poseidoniales. The record is from RNAcentral.